RNAcentral lists this ribosomal RNA (700 nucleotides) under uncultured bacterium. Its description in RNAcentral is "bacterial SSU rRNA". It matches the Rfam family "Bacterial small subunit ribosomal RNA", at positions 60 to 768 of the family's 1533-position model. The record is from RNAcentral.
AGUCGAACGGGGGGCAACCCCAGUGGCGAACUGGUCAGUACAAGUUGGGUAACCUGCCUGGAAGUGGGGGACAACGUCUCGAAAGGGACGCUAAUACCGCAUGUGGUUCCGGGGGCUUCGGCUCCUGUGACUAAAGCAGCAGUGCGCUUCCGGAUGGGCCCGACUCCCAUUAGCUUGUUGGUGAGGUAACGGCUCACCAAGGCUACGAUGGGUAGGUGGUCUGAGAGGAUGGUCACCGACACGAGGACUGAGAUACGGCCUCGACUCCUACGGGGGGCAGCAGUCUAGAAGCUUCGACAAUGGGGGAAACCCUGAUCGAGCGACGCCGCGUGCAGGAUGAAGGUCCUUGGAUUGUAAACUGCUUUCGGCCGGAAGGAGGGCCCUGAUGGUGAAUCAGGGAUUGACCUACUGGCGGAAGAAGCCCCGGCUAACCUCGUGCCAGCAGCCGCGGUAAUACGAGGGGGGCAAGCGUUAUUCGGAUUUACUGGGCGUAAAGAGCGCGUAGGUGGCUUGGCAAGUCUGGUGUGAAAACGCUACCGCUUAACGGAGCGAUUGCGCUGGAAACUGCCAAACUUGAGUCCGCGAGAGGUCGGUAGAACUCCUGGUGUAGCGGUGGAAUGCUCAGAUAUCAGGAAGAAUACCUGAGGCGAAGGCGACCGACUGGCGUGGUACUGACACUGAGGCGCGAAAGCGUGGGGAG